RNAcentral lists this long non-coding RNA (1116 nucleotides) under Brassica napus (rape). RNAcentral describes it as "long non-coding RNA (BNAP_LNC008672)". Lineage: Eukaryota; Viridiplantae; Streptophyta; Magnoliopsida; Brassicales; Brassicaceae. The record is from RNAcentral.
AAGAGAUUGAGAGAUGAAGAAACAUGAGUUCUGAUAUUAUUGUCCAAGCUUCCAUCAAUGGAAUCAGAGUAUUAGGUGUAGAGAAUGAUGAGAGUAAGAGAUGGAAGAAUAUUGUAUUGACUCUCAUAAGAAUAAUGGUUAGAGUUACAUAUAUAUUUAUACUAGAGAUGUUUCCUAAACUAGAUAGAUACAAAUAUAUAUGAGUAUCUUAUAUAAUAAAUAUACAAUAUUAACAAUAAUGUUUAUGAUCUCCUUGAUCCUUCUAUACGCCCCCUCAAUCUCAAGGUGGUAAUGGAUUUGUAGCGGAAUUAGCUUGAGAUUGACUCAGUAAUAAUGCCGUUAUCGUAUUUGGAUCAGCAGGAGAAGACGGUGGUGUUGGUUGUGAGGAGGUGAAUGGACAGAGAUGAUAAUGAUGUGCCUCCUUUGGUGGUUGUGUUCUCGUUGACUAUGUGUAGCGUCAACACUUACAUGAGGGAGUGUUGCUUGUUGGAGAUGAAGCACCUUGGCUUGGAAACAGAAAAUAGAAGGUCGAAGGCUUAUAGAUUCAGAGGCACGUUUGAUGAGCUUGAAUGAUGAUAGGAAGCACUUUGGCUUGAUAACAAACCCAUUUUUUUAAUGUUUUUUUUUGUCUUUUUUUUUCUCUUUAAUACGUAAGAAAUAUAUAACAAAUAUUUUUUUUUUUUCAAAAAUAAGAAAUCGAUUCAGAGGUCUUUGGAGACAUGAAUAAUAAGAAGCUCCAUGGCUUUAAGAAAAACAAAACAAGAAGCAUUAAGCUUUGAUUUUGGAAGUGAAGCCACAAUGGCUUAAGAAUUAUAAAGAUAAAAAUGAGGCAUGAAUAUAAAAAAACACUAGGCUUGGAUUCAGAGGUCUAUGGUAGACUUGAAUAACAAAAAGCUCAAUGGCUUAGAUUCAGAGGUUCACAUGAACAUGAAUGGUGGAAGCAUAUAGCUUAACAGAAAAUAUAAUAGAAGCUCAAUGGCUUGAAAUCAAAAAAUAAAUAAGCUCUGUAGCUUGAAGAAAAUAAAAGAAAAACAGGAACAUAGCAGAUCGUUAGAUCAUUGUAGCUCUGAUACCAUAUUGAUAAUAUGAUGAGAGUAGAUGAUUGGAAGAAUUGUA